GAUGAACGCUGGCGGCGUGCUUAACACAUGCAAGUCGAACGGAAAGGCCCUGCUUUUGUGGGGUGCUCGAGUGGCGAACGGGUGAGUAACACGUGAGUAACCUGCCCUUGUCUUUGGGAUAACUUCAGGAAACUGGGGCUCAUAUCGGAUAGGAGCUCCUGCUGCAUGGUGGGGGUUGGAAAGUUUCGGCGGUUGGGGCUGGACUCGCGGCUUAUCCGCUUGUUGGUGGGGUAGUUGCUUACCAAGGCUUUGACGGGUAGGCGGCAUGAGAGGGUGACCGGCGUCAAUGGGACUAAGAGACGGCGCAGACGGCAAUGGGAGGCAACGGUGGAAAGUCUGACGCAGUGGGCGGGAGUGUGUGGCGAAGGCGCCGGGUGCGGGAUGCCGGCCUUCGGGUUGUAAACAGAUUUCGCCUGAGACGAAGCGUGAGUGACGGUAAUGGGUAAAGAAGCAACGGCUAACUACGUG
This 468-nucleotide ribosomal RNA is filed under the name uncultured bacterium. Its description in RNAcentral is "partial 16S ribosomal RNA". It matches the Rfam family "Bacterial small subunit ribosomal RNA", at positions 28 to 507 of the family's 1533-position model. The record is from RNAcentral.